RNAcentral lists this ribosomal RNA (1239 nucleotides) under metagenome. RNAcentral's name for it is "bacterial LSU rRNA". It matches the Rfam family "Bacterial large subunit ribosomal RNA", at positions 1708 to 2925 of the family's 2925-position model. The record is from RNAcentral.
UUGAACUCGGCAAAAUGCCCCCGUAACUUCGGGAGAAGGGGGGCCGGAUGCGUUACAUGGCUUGCCCAUGGAAGCGUUGAUGGCCGCAGAGACCAGGCCCAAGCGACUGUUUACUAAAAACACAGGUCCGUGCGAAGAAGUAAUUCGAUGUAUACGGACUGACGCCUGCCCGGUGCUGGAACGUUAAGGGGACAGGUUAGCUAGUUUAGGCCGGCGAAGCUUUGAACUUAAGCGCCAGUAAACGGCGGUGGUAACUAUAACCAUCCUAAGGUAGCGAAAUUCCUUGUCGGGUAAGUUCCGACCUGCACGAAUGGCGUAACGACUUGGGCGCUGUCUCAACCAUGGACUCGGCGAAAUUGCAUUACGAGUAAAGAUGCUCGUUACGCGCAGCAGGACGGAAAGACCCCGGGACCUUUACUACAACUUGGUAUUGGUGGUCGGUACAACUUGUGUAGGAUAGGUGGGAGACUGUGAAAUCCGGACGCCAGUUCGGGUGGAGUCAUCGUUGAAAUACCACUCUGGUUGUUCUGGCUGUCUAACUUCGGUCCAUUAUCUGGAUCAGGGACAGUGCCUGGUGGGUAGUUUGACUGGGGCGGUCGCCUCCUAAAAGGUAACGGAGGCGCUCAAAGGUUCCCUCAGCCUGGUUGGCAAUCAGGUGUCGGGUGUAAGUGCACAAGGGAGCUUGACUGUGAGACAGACAUGUCGAGCAGGGACGAAAGUCGGAACUAGUGAUCCGGCGGUGGCAUGUGGGAGCACCGUCGCUCAACGGAUAAAAGGUACCCCGGGGAUAACAGGCUGAUCUUCCCCAAGAGUCCAUAUCGACGGGAUGGUUUGGCACCUCGAUGUCGGCUCGUCGCAUCCUGGGGCUGGAGUAGGUCCCAAGGGUUGGGCUGUUCGCCCAUUAAAGCGGCACGCGAGCUGGGUUUAGAACGUCGUGAGACAGUUCGGUCCCUAUCCGCUGCGCGCGCAGGAGACUUGAGAAGGGCUGCCCCUAGUACGAGAGGACCGGGGUGGACGAACCUCUGGUGUGCCAGUUGUUCCGCCAGGAGCACGGCUGGUUGGCUACGUUCGGGAGUGAUAACCGCUGAAAGCAUCUAAGCGGGAAGCACGCUUCAAGAUGAGGUCUCCCACCGAGUUAAUCGGGUAAGGCCCCCAGUAGACCACUGGGUUGAUAGGCCAGAGGUGGAAGCGCCGUAAGGUGUGGAGCUGACUGGUACUAAUAGGCCGAGGGCUUGUCCC